CUGAUGAAAAGACGAGAAAUGCCAGUAAGCCAAAUUGAAACUACAGAAACUAAUGAAAGGAAGACCAAUUGAGACCGAGGUUGGGAAAUGAAGCAGAUCACAAGCUGAUUGAAGGGCAAGGGUAUAUAUCUUGUAUAAAAACACUUCAAGUUUGUUUUGCUAAACAAAAACUUUUAUAUGGCAGUCGGUUCCUUCCUAACAAAUAGUGUAGCUUUAGGCAUUCAAAAACAAAUCAAAGUGUGCUGAAAAACACCAGCUGCGACUUGAGAGAGAUAUAACUAUCUGAAAAUAUAACAGACUGAUAUGGAUUUCGAUGUUUCGAGCGAAUACCCUUCGUCUUCGUAGCUUCCUCGUUGGGAAGUUAAUUCGGGAUGUUAUACAUAAAAAAAAUCACUAAAACCCACGCCAGCACGUAACAGUUGCAAUGCAAUAUUCAGUCAAAAGUAUUAGCAAGGACCAUCUCCUUUGUUCAAUGACAAGAGAGACAGUAUACGUCUAUAUGGUUCAAACUGAAUUACAUGAAGAAAACCUGCAAUAUUCGGGUGAACCCCACUCGUGUUUAACCAUUCGAUCAGCAACUUUAUCAAUUUCAGUUUGCAUAAUCUUAUUAAGUGUUUUAAAACACUGGUUGCUGUAGAAUAUAUUAGUGUCAUCUGCAAAUAAUAUAAUGAAAUUAAUUUGCAAUUUUUAAUAUCAUUGAUAUAGAGUAGAAAUAGAAUUGCAUGGUCCAAGAAUUGAUCCCUGUGGGACACCAC
Molecule: non-coding RNA, 755 nt
Organism: Paramuricea clavata
Lineage: Eukaryota; Metazoa; Cnidaria; Anthozoa; Malacalcyonacea; Plexauridae
Source: the annotation of a GenBank genome assembly